Molecule: long non-coding RNA, 234 nt
Filed under: Elaeis guineensis (African oil palm)
Lineage: Eukaryota; Viridiplantae; Streptophyta; Magnoliopsida; Arecales; Arecaceae
Description: long non-coding RNA (EGUI_LNC060132)
Source: RNAcentral
GUCUGACGCUGCUUCUUGGUUUCCACAUAGAAUAACCAACUUGAAAACUCUUUGUCCGUUGAUAAAUUGGACCAAAGAGAAAAUAAAAAAAAGAAUGAACCAGCCAAGCAACUGAUUUUCAUCCCACUAAAAGAAGAAGAUCUUGAGAAGACGGUCCAAAUUUGUUUGCAACUGUCUGAUCCGGAGCGACAGUAACUAAUCAAUCUACUGAGAGCAAAUGUUGACAUUUUUGCU